GAUGAACGCUAGCGGCAGGCUUAACACAUGCAAGUCGAGGGGUAACAGGGAGUGCUUGCACUCUGCUGACGACCGGCGCACGGGUGCGUAACGCGUAUGCAACCUACCUUCUACAGGGGGAUAGUCCAGAGAAAUUUGGCAUAAUACCCCAUACGAUCAUUUAUUGGCAUCGAUAGAUGAGGAAAACUCCGGUGGUAGAAGAUGGGCAUGCGUCCUAUUAGCUAGUUGGUAAGGUAACGGCUUACCAAGACAUCGAUAGGUAGGGGUCCUGAGAGGGAGAUCCCCCACACUGGUACUGAGACACGGACCAGACUCCUACGGGAGGCAGCAGUGAGGAAUAUUGGACAAUGGAGGCAACUCUGAUCCAGCCAUGCCGCGUGCAGGAAGACGGCCCUACGGGUUGUAAACUGCUUUUAUACAGGAAGAAACGCCGCUACGUGUAGCGGUUUGACGGUACUGUACGAAUAAGGAUCGGCUAACUCCGUGCCAGCAGCCGCGGUAAUACGGAGGAUCCAAGCGUUAUCCGGAAUCAUUGGGUUUAAAGGGUCCGUAGGCGGUUUUUUAAGUCAGAGGUGAAAUCCUGCAGCUCAACUGUAGCAUUGCCUUUGAUACUGAAAGACUUGAGUUAUUGUGAAGUAGUUAGAAUGUGUAGUGUAGCGGUGAAAUGCAUAGAUAUUACACAGAAUACCGAUUGCGAAGGCAGAUUACUAACAAUAUACUGACGCUGAGGGACGAAAGCGUGGGUAGCGAACAGGAUUAGAUACCCUGGUAGUCCACGCCGUAAACGAUGGAUACUAGCUGUUCGACCAACAUUGGUUGGUUGAGUGGCUAAGCGAAAGUGAUAAGUAUCCCACCUGGGGAGUACGCUCGCAAGAGUGAAACUCAAAGGAAUUGACGGGGGCCCGCACAAGCGGUGGAGCAUGUGGUUUAAUUCGAUGAUACGCGAGGAACCUUACCAGGGCUUAAAUGUAAGUUGCAUAGAUCAGAGAUGGUCUUUUCUUCGGACUACUUACAAGGUGCUGCAUGGUUGUCGUCAGCUCGUGCCGUGAGGUGUCAGGUUAAGUCCUAUAACGAGCGCAACCCCUGUCGUUAGUUGCCAGCAAGUAAAGUUGGGCACUCUAGCGAGACUGCCGGUGCAAACCGCGAGGAAGGUGGGGAUGACGUCAAAUCAUCACGGCCCUUACGUCCUGGGCUACACACGUGCUACAAUGGCCGGUACAGAGAGCAGCCACUCCGCGAGGAGGAGCGAAUCUAUAAAACCGGUCUCAGUUCGGAUCGCAGUCUGCAACUCGACUGCGUGAAGCUGGAAUCGCUAGUAAUCGGAUAUCAGCCAUGAUCCGGUGAAUACGUUCCCGGGCCU
This 1360-nucleotide ribosomal RNA is filed under the name uncultured bacterium. RNAcentral describes it as "bacterial SSU rRNA". It matches the Rfam family "Bacterial small subunit ribosomal RNA", at positions 28 to 1381 of the family's 1533-position model. The record is from RNAcentral.